CCCGCGGUAGCUCAGCCUGGUAGAGCUUCCGAGCCGCGUUAAACGGCGGAGACGCUGUAGAUGUGUGCCUUCUGGCAUGUAUCACCCAGCCUAUCGGGCGAACAUUAGAAACCGGAGUGUCGCCUGUUCAAAUCAGGCCCGCGGGACCA
Molecule: transfer RNA, 149 nt
Filed under: Candidatus Aminicenantota bacterium
Lineage: Bacteria; Candidatus Aminicenantota
Description: Candidatus Aminicenantes bacterium tRNA-OTHER
Source: RNAcentral